This 588-nucleotide ribosomal RNA is filed under the name uncultured bacterium. Its description in RNAcentral is "bacterial SSU rRNA". It matches the Rfam family "Bacterial small subunit ribosomal RNA", at positions 338 to 916 of the family's 1533-position model. The record is from RNAcentral.
CCUACGGGAGGCAGCAGUGGGGAAUUUUGGACAAUGGGCGAAAGCCUGAUCCAGCAAUGCCGCGUGCAGGAUGAAGGCCUUCGGGUUGUAAACUGCUUUUGUACGGAACGAAACGGUUCGCCUUAAUACGGUGGGCUAAUGACGGUACCGUAAGAAUAAGCACCGGCUAACUACGUGCCAGCAGCCGCGGUAAUACGUAGGGUGCGAGCGUUAAUCGGAAUUACUGGGCGUAAAGCGUGCGCAGGCGGUUAUAUAAGACAGAUGUGAAAUCCCUGGGCUCAACCUGGGACCUGCAUUUGUGACUGUAUAGCUAGAGUACGGUAGAGGGGGAGUGGAAUUCCGCGUGUAGCAGUGAAAUGCGUAGAUAUGCGGAGGAACACCGAUGGCGAAGGCAAUCCCCUGGACCUGUACUGACGCUCAUGCACGAAAGCGUGGGGAGCAAACAGGAUUAGAUACCCUGGUAGUCCACGCCCUAAACGAUGUCAACUGGUUGUUGGGUCUUCACUGACUCAGUAACGAAGCUAACGCGUGAAGUUGACCGCCUGGGGAGUAACGGCCGCAAGGUUGAAACUUCAAAUGAAUUGACGG